This 433-nucleotide ribosomal RNA is filed under the name uncultured bacterium. Its description in RNAcentral is "partial 16S ribosomal RNA". It matches the Rfam family "Bacterial small subunit ribosomal RNA", at positions 29 to 507 of the family's 1533-position model. The record is from RNAcentral.
AACGAACGCUGGCGGCAUGCCUAACACAUGCAAGUCGAACGAGACCUUCGGGUCUAGUGGCGCACGGGUGCGUAACGCGUGGGAACCUGCCCUUAGGUUCGGAAUAACUCCCCGAAAGGGGUGCUAAUACCGGAUAAUGUCUUCGGACCAAAGAUUUAUCGCCUUUGGAUGGGCCCGCGUUGGAUUAGCUAGUUGGUAGGGUAAAAGCCUACCAAGGCGACGAUCCAUAGCUGGUCUGAGAGGAUGAUCAGCCACACUGGGACUGAGACACGGCCCAGACUCCUACGGGAGGCAGCAGUGGGGAAUAUUGGACAAUGGGCGAAAGCCUGAUCCAGCAAUGCCGCGUGAGUGAUGAAGGCCUUAGGGUUGUAAAGCUCUUUUACCCGGGAUAAUAAUGACAGUACCGGGAGAAUAAGCGCCGGCUAACUCCGUG